This 404-nucleotide ribosomal RNA is filed under the name uncultured bacterium. RNAcentral's name for it is "bacterial SSU rRNA". It matches the Rfam family "Bacterial small subunit ribosomal RNA", at positions 355 to 776 of the family's 1533-position model. The record is from RNAcentral.
UGGGGAAUAUUGGACAAUGGGCGCAAGCCUGAUCCAGCCAUGCCGCGUGAGUGAUGAAGGCCUUAGGGUUGUAAAGCUCUUUCAACGGUGAAGAUAAUGACGGUAACCGUAGAAGAAGCCCCGGCUAACUUCGUGCCAGCAGCCGCGGUAAUACGAAGGGGGCUAGCGUUGUUCGGAAUUACUGGGCGUAAAGCGUACGUAGGCGGAUUAGAAAGUUAGGGGUGAAAUCCCAGGGCUCAACCCUGGAACUGCCUCUAAAACUCCUAAUCUUGAGUUCGAGAGAGGUGAGUGGAAUUCCGAGUGUAGAGGUGAAAUUCGUAGAUAUUCGGAGGAACACCAGUGGCGAAGGCGGCUCACUGGCUCGAUACUGACGCUGAGGUACGAAAGCGUGGGGAGCAAACAGG